This 72-nucleotide transfer RNA is filed under the name uncultured Gammaproteobacteria bacterium. RNAcentral describes it as "tRNA-Ala". It matches the Rfam family "tRNA". From Rfam's summary of the family: Transfer RNA (tRNA) molecules are approximately 80 nucleotides in length. Their secondary structure includes four short double-helical elements and three loops (D, anti-codon, and T loops). The record is from RNAcentral. Lineage: Bacteria; Pseudomonadati; Pseudomonadota; Gammaproteobacteria.
CCAUAGCUCAGCUGGGAGAGCGCCUGCUUUGCAAGCAGGAGGUCGGCGGUUCGAUCCCGCCUGGCUCCACCA